UGACUUUACACAUGCAAGUCGAACGGUAACAGGUCUUCGGAUGCUGACGAGUGGCGAACGGUGAGUAAUGUAUCGGAACGUAUCCAAUAAUGGGGGAUAACUAAUCGAAAGGUUGGCUAAUACCGCAUACGCCCUACGGGGGGAAAGCAGGGGAUCUUCGGACCUUGCGUUAAUGGAGCGGCCGAUAUCUGAUUAGCUAGUUGGUGAGGUAAAAGCUCACCAAGGCGACGAUCAGUAGCUGGUCUGAGAGGACGACCAGCCACACUGGAACUGAGACACGGUCCAGACUCCUACGGGAGGCAGCAGUGGGGAAUUUUGGACAAUGGGCGAAAGCCUGAUCCAGCCAUUCCGCGUGAGUGAAGAAGGCCUUCGGGUUGUAAAGCUCUUUCGCAAGGGAAGAAACGAUGCAGUCGAAUAAACUGUGUUAAUGACGGUACCUUGAUAAGAAGCACCGGCUAACUACGUG
Molecule: ribosomal RNA, 466 nt
Filed under: uncultured bacterium
Lineage: Bacteria
Description: bacterial SSU rRNA
Rfam family: Bacterial small subunit ribosomal RNA
Source: RNAcentral